Molecule: unclassified non-coding RNA, 498 nt
Filed under: Hevea brasiliensis (rubber tree)
Lineage: Eukaryota; Viridiplantae; Streptophyta; Magnoliopsida; Malpighiales; Euphorbiaceae
Source: RNAcentral
CCAAAUUAAAAAGUAGAAAAAUACCCAAAAAAAAGACCAAAGAGUUAUUGAUAAAAGGGACAAACACAGAACAGCACAGGAUUGCCCUUCUCUAACAGUUGGGAACUCAACUAGAGAUUGCAGAUGAUAAUCAAUAUCUCAUUCAAAGAACUUAUGUCACUAGGGAUAAUUUGAAGUUGAACCUCAUAUAUGAAGGGCAAUUUUAUGAAUUAAAAAGAAGGUAAGAAUAUAUAAGAGGUUCCGGUAAGUGCUUCAAGAGAAUGGCUCCUAAAACUAAACUAAACUAAACUCAACUAAGCAUUUAUCUCAAAAAUUUGGGGUUGGCUAUAUAGAUUCUUUUUCUACACUCUAAACGAUUUUAAUAUUUCUAAGUUAUGUUAUACUACUCUCAUCCAAGUCAGUUUAGGUCUACCACUUCUUUUCUUUCUAUCCUCUAUCCUAAUGUACUCUACUUGUCUAACAUGAGACUCCGUAUGUCUACGCUCCACAUGACCAAAC